This 446-nucleotide ribosomal RNA is filed under the name uncultured bacterium. Its description in RNAcentral is "SSU rRNA". It matches the Rfam family "Bacterial small subunit ribosomal RNA", at positions 26 to 518 of the family's 1533-position model. The record is from RNAcentral.
AGAGCGAACGCUGGCGGCAGGCUUAACACAUGCAAGUCGAACGGAUCCUUCGGGAUUAGUGGCGGACGGGUGAGUAACACGUGGGAACGUGCCUUUAGGUUCGGAACAACACAGGGAAACUUGUGCUAAUACCGGAUGUGCCCUUCGGGGGAAAGAUUUAUCGCCUUUAGAGCGGCCCGCGUCUGAUUAGCUUGUUGGUGAGGUAAAGGCUCACCAAGGCUACGAUCAGUAGCUGGUCUGAGAGGAUGGCCAGCCACAUUGGGACUGAGACACGGCCCAAACUCCUACGGGAGGCAGCAGUGGGGAAUCUUGCGCAAUGGGGAAACCCUGACGCAGCCAUGCCGCGUGGAUGAUGAGGUCUUAGGAUUGUAAAAUCCUUUCAGCGGGGACGAUAAUGACGGUACCCGCAGAAGAAGCCCCGGCUAACUUCGCGCCGAGCCAGCCGC